This is a non-coding RNA of Cinara cedri, 285 nucleotides long. The record is from the annotation of a GenBank genome assembly. Lineage: Eukaryota; Metazoa; Arthropoda; Insecta; Hemiptera; Aphididae.
CGUCUUACAUUAUAAAAAUAUAAAGCUAUUUGUACGUAUUUGGUUUGUUUUUUUUUUUUUUUUAACGUCCUUAUGAACGGGCGCGAACUGUACUGAAUAGAAAAAAAAAACGUAUACGGUCUUUAGGACCCGCACAAAAUGUUAUUGACUAAAAUUUGUAUACUUUUUAAUGUUUUUUUUUUUUUUUUCUUUGAAUAUUGUAUUAUAAUAUUUACUUAGGUGUAUACGUGUCUCGCGAUAUUUUUCCUGAAUUAUUACUAUUAUCAUAAUAUUAUACGCACGCGC